GAGUUUGAUCCUGGCUCAGAUUGAACGCUGGCGGCAGGCUUAACACAUGCAAGUCGAACGGUAACAGAACUAGCUUGCUAGUUGCUGACGAGUGGCGGACGGGUGAGUAACGCGUAGGAAUCUACCGAGUAGUGGGGGACAACAGUUGGAAACGACUGCUAAUACCGCAUAAUCCCUGAGGGGGAAAGGAGGGGAUCUGUUUACAGACCUUUCGCUAUUUGAUGAGCCUGCGUGAGAUUAGCUAGUUGGUGAGGUAAUGGCUCACCAAGGCGACGAUCUUUAGCUGGUCUGAGAGGACGAUCAGCCACAUUGGGACUGAGACACGGCCCAGACUCCUACGGGAGGCAGCAGUGGGGAAUAUUGGACAAUGGGCGCAAGCCUGAUCCAGCCAUACCGCGUGUGUGAAGAAGGCCUUCGGGUUGUAAAGCACUUUAAGCAGGGAGAAAAAGUUAUAAGUUAAUACCUUAUAACCCUGAUGUUACCUGCAGAAUAAGCACCGGCUAAUUCCGUGCCAGCAGCCGCGGUAAUACGGAAGGUGCAAGCGUUAAUCGGAAUUACUGGGCGUAAAGCGCGCGUAGGUGGUUUGUUAAGUUGGAUGUGAAAGCCCUGGGCUCAACCUAGGAACUGCAUCCAAAACUAACUCACUGGAGUACGAUAGAGGGAGGUAGAAUUCAUAGUGUAGCGGUGGAAUGCGUAGAUAUUAUGAAGAAUACCAGUGGCGAAAGCGGCCUCCUGGAUCUGUACUGACACUGAGGUGCGAAAGCGUGGGUAGCGAACAGGAUUAGAUACCCUGGUAGUCCACGCCGUAAACGAUGACAACUAGCUGUUGGGAGACUAUGUCUUUCAGUGGCGCAGCUAACGCUUUAAGUUGUCCGCCUGGGGAGUACGGCCGCAAGGCUAAAACUCAAAUGAAUUGACGGGGACCCGCACAAGCGGUGGAGCAUGUGGUUUAAUUCGAUGCAACGCGAAAAACCUUACCUACUCUUGACAUACUUGGAGGCUCUUGUAAUGAGAGUGUGCCUUUUGGAACCAAGAUACAGGUGCUGCAUGGCUGUCGUCAGCUCGUGUCGUGAGAUGUUCCGUUAAGUCGGAUAACGAGCGCAACCCUUACCCUUAUUUGCCAGCGAUUCGGUCGGGAACUAUAAGGGGACUGCCGGUGAUAAACCGGAGGAAGGUGAGGACGACGUCAAGUCAUCAUGGCCCUUACGAGUAGGGCUACACACGUGCUACAAUGGGAGAUACAGACGGACGCUAAGCCGCGAGGUGGUGCUAAUCCUAAAAAGUCUUUCGUAGUCCGGAUUGGAGUCUGCAACUCGACUCCAUGAAGUCGGAAUCGCUAGUAAUCGCGGAUCAGCAUGCCGCGGUGAAUACGUUCUCGGGUCUUGUACACACCGCCCGUCACACCAUGGAAGUGGAUUGCACCAGAAGUAGAUAGUCUAACCUUAGGGAGGGCGUUUACCACGGUGUGCUUCAUGACUGGGGUGAAGUCGUAACAAGGUAACC
RNAcentral lists this ribosomal RNA (1503 nucleotides) under uncultured marine bacterium. Its description in RNAcentral is "bacterial SSU rRNA". It matches the Rfam family "Bacterial small subunit ribosomal RNA". The record is from RNAcentral.